CGAUGUGAGGGCGAUCUGGCUGUAACAUCUGUCACCCCAUUGAUCUCCAGGGUUGAUUCUGUUGGUCUGGCUGUCUGGGUGGAUGUCCCUUCUUCUCUCACUGCUCCAUGUAUGUCCUUCCCAAAGCUCUGUGCUUGGUCGAAGAGAACGACCAUCCCCAAUAAAGGAGAACCGGUCUUUGGUCAAGAGUAUAUGAGUAGAUGAUCUCCCCUGCUAGAACUUCUGAACAAGUGAGCCUCUAGCUCACUGUCACAGAACAGCUAAUACAUAGUUGAAAGCUGAACAGAUACAUAAGCAUCUGUUC
Dipodomys ordii (Ord's kangaroo rat) is the source of this 304-nucleotide unclassified non-coding RNA. Its record names the gene 7SK. It matches the Rfam family "7SK RNA". From Rfam's summary of the family: 7SK was discovered as an abundant small nuclear RNA in the mid-70s but a possible function has only recently been suggested. Two independent studies have found that 7SK RNA binds the CDK9/cyclin T complex (known as elongation factor P-TEFb). The record is from Ensembl. Lineage: Eukaryota; Metazoa; Chordata; Mammalia; Rodentia; Heteromyidae.